RNAcentral lists this ribosomal RNA (428 nucleotides) under Verrucomicrobiota bacterium. RNAcentral's name for it is "Verrucomicrobia bacterium partial 16S ribosomal RNA". It matches the Rfam family "Bacterial small subunit ribosomal RNA", at positions 355 to 776 of the family's 1533-position model. Lineage: Bacteria; Pseudomonadati; Verrucomicrobiota. The record is from RNAcentral.
UGGGGAAUCUUCCGCAAUGGACGAAAGUCUGACGGAGCAACGCCGCGUGAGUGAAGACGGCCUUCGGGUUGUAAAGCUCUGUGAUUCGGGACGAAAGGCCAUAUGUGAAUAAUAUAUGGAAAUGACGGUACCGAAAAAGCAAGCCACGGCUAACUACGUGCCAGCAGCCGCGGUAAUACGUAGGUGGCAAGCGUUGUCCGGAAUUAUUGGGCGUAAAGCGCGCGCAGGCGGUCACUUAAGUCCAUCUUAGAAGUGCGGGGCUUAACCCCGUGAUGGGAUGGAAACUGGGAGACUGGAGUAUCGGAGAGGAAAGUGGAAUUCCUAGUGUAGCGGUGAAAUGCGUAGAUAUUAGGAAGAACACCAGUGGCGAAGGCGACUUUCUGGACGAACACUGACGCUGAGGCGCGAAAGCCAGGGGAGCGAACGGG